Molecule: transfer RNA, 71 nt
Filed under: Loxodonta africana (African savanna elephant)
Lineage: Eukaryota; Metazoa; Chordata; Mammalia; Proboscidea; Elephantidae
Rfam family: tRNA
About the family: Transfer RNA (tRNA) molecules are approximately 80 nucleotides in length. Their secondary structure includes four short double-helical elements and three loops (D, anti-codon, and T loops).
Source: Rfam by way of RNAcentral
GCACUGGUGAUUCAGCGGUAGAAUUCCUGUCUUACAUGCAGGAGAUCUUGAUUCAAUUCCCAGCCAAUACA